AACGCAAAUUGCGCUUCAUGGUAUUCCAUGGAGCAUACCUGUUUGAGUCUCAUUUUACCUUCAUUCCUCGUAUUGUCUCCGGACAAUAAUUGGAGUGAAUUUGUGUCUAUGCACAUCUCACCUCUGGGUGUAACGUUCAAGACAUUAAAUGUAGUGACGGUACUUGAUCUAAUUAUCUACCAACGGCGCGAUUAAUUUUGACCGACAAUAGAUCUAAUCAAGGUGACCGACGGCUCAGACGAUUUUUACCAAACGCUUUGCCAUUGAGGAUGGUUAGGAAUGAUUUUGGCAUUGCCUGAAUCUUUUCACCAGUCCUUUUAUUUGGAGCUCAAAUCAGGCAGGACUACCCGCUGAACUUAA
Molecule: unclassified non-coding RNA, 360 nt
Filed under: Anthopsis sp.
Lineage: Eukaryota; Fungi; Ascomycota; Eurotiomycetes; Chaetothyriales; Cyphellophoraceae
Description: partial contains 5.8S ribosomal RNA, internal transcribed spacer 2, and large subunit ribosomal RNA
Source: RNAcentral